This is a long non-coding RNA of Manihot esculenta (cassava), 886 nucleotides long. RefSeq lists it as uncharacterized. The transcript has 3 exons. The record is from RefSeq and is a predicted model, not a curated record. Lineage: Eukaryota; Viridiplantae; Streptophyta; Magnoliopsida; Malpighiales; Euphorbiaceae.
UACCAAAUGGACUUGGUGACGAGCUACCCGCAGUUACUGUUGAUCACACUUCUAAUCAACUUCAAAAUCCAAAUGCAACUGCAGCAACAGGUUUACUCAUUUAAUUUUAUUUAAACAAUUGAUUAUGUUUACUUGUUCUAUGUACAGAAAUUCUUGUUAUUAUAUGAUUAUUGUUUUACUUUUAUUUUGAAAUAGGUUCCAAUAUAAUUAAAAGAAAAACUAGAGGACCAACACGAUGCUUGAAAAUCACACAAUUGGAGAAUGGACAAAAAUUGCCAGUAGAAUUUGAUGAAGAUGAUCAAGCUAUUGGUGAUAAUGCUACUGCAUUUGUUUGGUUUUUAGGACAAAUUAUUAGAAGUGUGUCGUGUUAUCCAUUGCAAGUGAAACAAUGGAAUAAGAUUACCGAUGAUAAGCUCGACCUUAUGUGGUCUACCAUAUUAGUACGAAAAUUUAUAUUAAAUUACAUCCAUUAUAAAAUGAUUAUAAUUUUUUUAGUUCUAUUAAGUAUCAUAAUAUUUAUUUCUUACUUCUUUGCUAAAAGGAAAGUUCACUUUUGAGUAUUCUGAUGCAAGAAAGGGAGCAAUUUUCGGUCAUAUGAAUGCAUUAUAUAGGAAUUAUAGGCAUAAGUUGAAGAAGAAGUACUUUGAUUCAAAGGCAACUUAUUCACUUCGUCUCCGAAACAAGCCUAAGGAUAUGGAUGUAAAAGAUUGGAAGUAUUUGGUUAAUCUUUGGACAGAAAAUGCAUUUCAGAGAGAAGCAACAAAAAUAAGACAAAUAGAUGCAAGCGUUUUAUGCCGCCAUACACGGGGACAAAAAGCUUUGCUUGGCUGAGAGAUCAUAUGAAGAACAAAAAAAAUGGAAAAACACUUUCUCGCUUAGAGCUUUU